This 253-nucleotide ribosomal RNA is filed under the name uncultured bacterium. RNAcentral describes it as "partial 16S ribosomal RNA". It matches the Rfam family "Bacterial small subunit ribosomal RNA", at positions 524 to 776 of the family's 1533-position model. The record is from RNAcentral.
UACGUAGGGUGCGAGCGUUGUCCGGAUUUAUUGGGCGUAAAGAGCUCGUAGGCGGUUUGUCGCGUCGGCCGUGAAACUCUCCACGCUUAACGUGGAGCGUGCGGUCGAUACGGGCAGACUUGAGUUCGGUAGGGGAGACUGGAAUUCCUGGUGUAGCGGUGAAAUGCGCAGAUAUCAGGAGGAACACCGGUGGCGAAGGCGGGUCUCUGGGCCGAUACUGACGCUGAGGAGCGAAAGCGUGGGAGCGAACAGG